UUUUGCUUCUUUGUAGUUGGGCUCUCGACACAGUCCUUGGGAUGUUGUCAUUAGCUUCUUCUCUAUUGCUUAUCUAAGAGACUAGAGUUAAAUAACAACACUAAUUGU
Magnolia sinica is the source of this 108-nucleotide small nucleolar RNA. RefSeq annotates it as small nucleolar RNA snoR97. The transcript has a single exon. The record is from RefSeq and is a predicted model, not a curated record. NCBI's taxonomy places the organism in Eukaryota, Viridiplantae, Streptophyta, Magnoliopsida, Magnoliales, Magnoliaceae.